RNAcentral lists this ribosomal RNA (553 nucleotides) under Dynamene curalii. Its description in RNAcentral is "partial 16S ribosomal RNA". It matches the Rfam family "Bacterial large subunit ribosomal RNA", at positions 1796 to 2620 of the family's 2925-position model. The record is from RNAcentral. Lineage: Eukaryota; Metazoa; Arthropoda; Malacostraca; Isopoda; Sphaeromatidae.
UCGCCUGUUUAUCAAAAACAUUGCUUAUAGUUAUUUAAAUAUAAGUCUGCUCUGCUCAAUGUAUUUAAUAUAAAUGGCCGCAGUAUCUUAACUGUGCUAAGGUAGCAAAAUAAUUAGUCUAAUAAUUGUAGACUUGAAUGAAAGAGUUAACGUAUUUUAUCUUUUUUGGUAAUAAAUAUAACUUAAAAUUAAAGUCAAAAUUCUUUAAUAUACUAAAAAGACGAGAAGACCCUACAAAACUUUAAUUUAAUUAAUUAAACUUUUAUUAUUAAGAUCUUUCAAUUAAAUUAAACAAAUUUUAGCUGGGGCGGCUUAUAUUUAAUACUACUAACAAUAAAUUAUUUAUAACAUUUUUAAUGAAACUUAAUAACCUUUAAUAAAAUACAAAAUUUAAGUUACUUUAGGGAUAACAGCAUUUAAAUCUUUAAGAGACCAUAUCAAUAAGAAACAAUGUGACCUCGAUGUUGAAUCGGAAGUUCUUCUAAAAGCAGUUCUUUAGAAAAGAAAGUCUGUUCGACUUUUAAAAUUCCACAUGAUCUGAGUUCAAACCGGA